GACGAACGCUGGCGGCAUGCCUAACACAUGCAAGUCGAACGAGACCUUCGGGUCUAGUGGCGCACGGGUUCGUAACGCGUGGGAAUCUGCCCUUCGGUUGGGAAUAACUGAGAGAAAUUUCAGCUAAUACCUUAUAAUGUCUUCGGACCAAAGAUUUAUCGACGAGGGAUGAGCCCGCGUAGGAUUAGGUAGUUGGUGGGGUAAUGGCCUACCAAGCCGAGGAUCCUUAGCUGGUCUGAGAGGCUGAUCAGCCACACUGGGACUGAGACACGGCCCAGACUCCUACGGGAGGGAGGAGUGGGGAAUAUUGGAAAGUGGGCGAAAGCAUGAUCGAGCAAUGCCGGGUGAGUGAUGAAGGCCUUAGGGUUGUAAAGCUCUUUUAACCGGGAUGAUAAUGACAGUACCGGGAGAAUAAGCCCCGGCUAACUCCGUG
This 433-nucleotide ribosomal RNA is filed under the name uncultured bacterium. Its description in RNAcentral is "partial 16S ribosomal RNA". It matches the Rfam family "Bacterial small subunit ribosomal RNA", at positions 28 to 507 of the family's 1533-position model. The record is from RNAcentral.